AUCCAGCACCGCGGCCGCGCGACUGGUCGCUCCGCCGCCGCCUCCCGGGUGCUGUCGCCCGCCCAGCGGAGCAGGGGAAGCGCUGAGCCCACGCUGGCCCCGCUCCUCUCCGUUGCCGGGUCCGCUCCCACGGGCUCGGCCCCCAGACCCUCAGUGGCACCCACCCUGUGCGGCCCUCGUGUGGCCCCAGCCCCGCUCCCCGUCCCCGUUCCACAGACGCUGGGGCGCAGGGGCGGCUCCGCCCUGCCCUUCACCCGCACGGUAGAGGGGUCACGGCUCACCGCAGCCUCCGCCUCCGGGCUCCAGCGGUCCUCGCAGGCGCGCCCCACCACGCUCAGCUAAUUUUUUCUUAUUUUUUAUAGAGAUGCGGUCUCCUGAAAAGUAGCCACUCUUUUUUGUUUUGUUUUGUUUUGUUUGGGGGGCGGGGGACAGAGUCUUGCUCUUUCGCCAGGCUGGAGUGCAGUGGCGCGAUCUCGGCUCGGAAUCUCCACCUCCCGGGCUCAAGCGAUUCUCCCGUCUCAGCUUCCGGAGUAGCUGGGACUACAGGCGCGCGCCACCACGCCCGGUUAAUUUUUUUGUAUUUUAGUAGAGACAGGGUUUCACCAUGUUGGCCAGGAUGGUCUCGAUAUCCUGACCUCGUGAUCCGCCUUCCUCGGCCUCCCAAAGUGCUGGGAUUACAAGCGUGAGCCACGCGCCCGGCCUUUUUUUUUUUUUUUUUUUAAGAGACCGGCCCACUAUGUUGCCCAGGCAGAUCUCGAACUGCUGAGCUCAAGCGAUCCUCCCGCCUCCCCUCCCGAAGUGCUAGGAUUCCAGGUGUGGCCACCGCGCCCACCACUUCCUUGCCUCCUCUCCCAAGCUUGCCCUCCUGUCUCCUGCUUUCCCUUAGACAAACUCAUAUGAUCCUGGGCCCGCGCAGAUAAUCUGGCAUAAUCUCAAAAUCCUUAAUCCCAUCUCUGGGGCCACAAUUCAACCAACUACAAGCUUGAAUUUGGGGAAUGAGCCAUGGAGGUGUUGGGGAGAGCGUGUUCCUGGCAGUGCAAGAGCCAGGAGGCAGGAGACAGCCGUCUGCAGCAGCCCCACUCCCGCCCUCCAGGGGCUGUGCCUUCUCCUACAGGUGAGGACUCAGUGGGGCCGGGGCACUGUGCCCACCUGGAGUAUGCAGGUAGAGAAACCACAGGGCUGCGUGAUGACUGGAGGGACUGAUAGGAAAAGAGGACCAAGGGGUCCGGGGCCAGGUUGUGUGGGGCCUCGUGGGCCACCGAGGACUUGGCAUUGGCUAUGAGUGAGAUGGGAGCCCCAGGGAUCCAAUCUGACACCCCUUCCCAAGGGGCACUCAGUGGGCUGCGAGUGGCUUGUGAGGAGCUGGUGGCCGAGGCAGGAAGGGGAGGCAGGAGGGAGAUGCAAUUGUCCAGCUGGGAGGGUGGCUCAGCUGUAUAAGUGACCCCCCAGGAGGGCACCCCUCCACCAGCCCAGGCUCCAGGACUGAGGCGGGGGGGUUUGGACAGGCACCCAGGGGGGCCACAGUUCUGUGGCAGUGUGGGCACCAAGGCCUGGUCCCCCUGGCUUGGAGCCCCGCCCCCACAUGGCCAGUGUGUGCAGGGAUGAGGUCCUUCCUGUACUGCCAUGGCUUCCCCUGGGCCCACCCUCACCACCUGGCUCUGGCACAAGGACCUUUACAGCAGCUUUAUUUACCACUGCCCAAACGCAGAAACAACCGAUAUGUCGGCAGGUGAAUGGAAAAACUGUGGUACCUACAGACAAUGGAAUACUAUGCAGCUCUAAAAAGAAAUGAGGCCAGGCACAGUGGCUCAUGCCCGUAAUCCUAACGCUUUGGGAGGCCAGGAGGGCGGAUCACUUAAGGCCAGGAGUUUGAGACCAGCCUGGCCAGCGUGGCAAAACCCGUCUCUAAAAAUACAAAAAUCUCUCUCCCUCUCCCUCUCGCUCUCGCUCUCGCUCUCGCUCUCCCUCCCCCUCCCCCUCUCGCUCUCGCUCUCCCCACGGUCUCCCUCUCCCUCUCUUUCCACGGUCUCCCUCUGAUGCCGAGCGGAAGCUGGACGGUACUGCUGCCAUCUCGGCUCACUGCAACCUCCCUGCCUGAUUCUCCUGCCUCAGCCUGCCGAGUGCCUGCGAUUGCAGGCGCGCGCCGCCACGCCUGACUGGUUUUCCUAUUUUUUUGGUGGAGAUGGGGUUUCGCUGUGUUGGCGGGGCUGGUCUCCAGCUCCUAACCGCGAGUGAUCCGCCAGCCUCCGCCUCCCGAGGCGCCGGGAUUGCAGACGGGAGUCUCGUUCACUCAGUGCUCAAUGGUGCCCAGGCUGGAGUGCAGUGGCGUGAUCUCGGCUCGCUACAACCUCCACCUCCCACCCGCCUGCCUUGGCCCCCCCAAAGUGCUGAGAUUGCAGCCUCUGCCCGGCCGCCACCCCGUCUGGGAAGUGAGGAGCUUCUCUGCCUGGCCGCCCAUCGUCUGGGAUGUGAGGAGCCCCUCUGCCUGGCUGCCCAGUCUGGAAAGUGAGGAGCGUCUCUGCCCGGCCGCCCAUCGUCUGAGAUGUGGGGAGCACCUCUGCCCUGCCGCCCCGUCUGGGAUGCGAGGAGCGUCUCUGCCCGGCUGCCCCGUCUGAGAAGUGAGGAGCCCCUCUGCCUGCCAACCGCCCCGUCUGGGAAGUGAGGAGCGUCUCCGCCCGGCAGCCACCCCGUCCUGGAGGGAGGUGGGGGUCAGCCCCCACCAGGCCAGCCACCCCGUCAGGGAGGUGAGGGGCGCCUCUGCCCGGCCGCCCCUACUGGGAAGUGAGGAGCCCCCUCUGCCCGGCCACCACCCCGUCUGGGAGGUGUACCCAACAGCUCAUUGAGAACGGGCCAUGAUGACAAUGGCGGUUUUGUGGAAUACAAAGGGGGGAAGGUGGGGAAAAGAUUGAGAAAUCAGAUGGUUGCCGUGUCUGUGUAGAAAGAGGUAGACAUGGGAGACUUUUCAUUUUGUUCUGUACUAAGAAAA
This 2986-nucleotide long non-coding RNA is filed under the name Homo sapiens (human). Its description in RNAcentral is "non-protein coding lnc-DDX51-3:3". The record is from RNAcentral. Lineage: Eukaryota; Metazoa; Chordata; Mammalia; Primates; Hominidae.